GCAGGCUGCAACUCGCCUGCAUGAAGUCGGAAUUGCUAGUAAUCGCAGAUCAGCAUGCUGCGGUGAAUACGUUCCCGGGCCUUGUACACACCGCCCGUCACACCAUGGGAGUCGGUAACACCCAAAGUUGGUAGCCUAACCGCAAGGAGGGCGCCGCCUAAGGUGGGAUUGAUGACUGGGGUGAAGUCGUAACAAGGUAUC
This 201-nucleotide ribosomal RNA is filed under the name uncultured bacterium. RNAcentral describes it as "partial 16S ribosomal RNA". It matches the Rfam family "Bacterial small subunit ribosomal RNA", at positions 1300 to 1500 of the family's 1533-position model. The record is from RNAcentral.